UCGGAGGAAAAGGAACCAACAGGGAUUGCCCUAGUAACGGCGAGUGAAGCGGCAACAGCUCAAAUUUGAAAUCUGGCUUCGGCCCGAGUUGUAAUUUGCAGAGGAAGCUUUAGGCGCGGCACUUUCUGAGUCCCCUGGAACGGGGCGCCAUAGAGGGUGAGAGCCCCGUAUAGUUAGAUGCCUAGCCUGUGUAAAGCUCCUUCGACGAGUCGAGUAGUUUGGGAAUGCUGCUCAAAAUGGGAGGUAAAUUUCUUCUAAAGCUAAAUACCGGCCAGAGACCGAUAGCGCACAAGUAGAGUGAUCGAAAGAUGAAAAGCACUUUGAAAAGAGGGUUAAAUAGCACGUGAAAUUGUUGAAAGGGAAGCGCUUGUGACCAGACUUGCGCCGGGCAGAUCAUCCGGUGUUCUCACCGGUGCACUCUGCCCGGCUCAGGCCAGCAUCGGUUCUCGCGGGGGGAUAAAGGCCCUGGGAACGUAGCUCCUCCGGGAGUGUUAUAGCCCGGGGCGUAAUGCCCUCGCGGGGACCGAGGUUCGCGCAUCUGCAAGGAUGCUGCGUAGACGUGGCGU
RNAcentral lists this ribosomal RNA (566 nucleotides) under Chaetomium globosum. RNAcentral describes it as "eukaryotic LSU rRNA". It matches the Rfam family "Eukaryotic large subunit ribosomal RNA", at positions 50 to 641 of the family's 3401-position model. The record is from RNAcentral. Lineage: Eukaryota; Fungi; Ascomycota; Sordariomycetes; Sordariales; Chaetomiaceae.